This 108-nucleotide Y RNA is filed under the name Cercocebus atys (sooty mangabey). RNAcentral's name for it is "Y RNA (ENSCATG00000000955.1)". It matches the Rfam family "Y RNA". From Rfam's summary of the family: Y RNAs are components of the Ro ribonucleoprotein particle (Ro RNP), in association with Ro60 and La proteins. The Y RNAs and Ro60 and La proteins are well conserved, but the function of the Ro RNP is not known. In humans the RNA component can be one of four small RNAs -- hY1, hY3, hY4 and hY5. Lineage: Eukaryota; Metazoa; Chordata; Mammalia; Primates; Cercopithecidae. The record is from RNAcentral.
GGCUAGUCCUAGGGUACUCAGUUAUCUCAAUUGAUCACCAUCAGUUACAUAGUGAAUUCCUUGUUAUAUUCUUCCCCCUUUUUCACUACUAAACUUGACUACUCUUAA